Molecule: ribosomal RNA, 253 nt
Filed under: uncultured bacterium
Lineage: Bacteria
Description: partial 16S ribosomal RNA
Rfam family: Bacterial small subunit ribosomal RNA
Source: RNAcentral
UACGUAGGGGGCAAGCGUUAUCCGGAUUUACUGGGUGUAAAGGGAGCGUAGACGGUAAAGCAAGUCUGAAGUGAAAUGCCAGUGCUCAACACUGGAACUGCUUUGGAAACUGUUUGGCUGGAGUGCAGGAGAGGUAAGUGGAAUUCCUAGUGUAGCGGUGAAAUGCGUAGAUAUUAGGAGGAACACCAGUGGCGAAGGCGGCUUACUGGACUGUAACUGACGUUGAGGCUCGAAAGCGUGGGGAGCAAAUAGG